UUUGUGUUCAUUGACUCGAACAAUUCCAUUAUUGUUAGGUUUUGAUAACGCGCCGUGAACCUAUGUUGACCUCAAAGUUAUCGGCAGCAUGUUAUUACACAUACGUAAUAAUAUAAGCGCUUUUGUUUGUAUUCCAAUCUUUUGUAAAAAGGAUCAUAAAUGUCGAAUUGUGAAUUAAAUUUCGAAAAAAGUGUUUGCAUUGGCUUGAAAAUUAUCAGUAUUUGAAGAAUGUGUGUCUAUGUUGGAGUCUUUAUUUAUGAAAGGUGAGGCGCAGUUGCUUUUGUUGGAUGGCGACUUCGUUUCGGCCGCUGCCAUUUUUUCUUUUUCGGAAGCCAUUGUAAAACGGACUUGUCACUGACCGACGGCGCCCGUAUUUAUGUCUCGACCGCAACGCCUCUCAUUACUACCGCCGAAAGAUUUGUCACGACAUUGGGCACGCGACCGCAUCCGAACGCACCAAGAACAUAGAUAAUGAGUGAUGAGUGAUUCCUGAUGACUAAAUAGCGCCGUAAAUAGUUAACCUUAUUGCUUUGAUUAUUGACUUACACUCAAAACGCUAAAUCCGCGAACAAAUUAAACACGGAUUCUCAUAAGAAAAAUAUUUGUAUAUUGUCAAUUUAAAGAUUAAAGAUCUUGGAAACGAUGCCGUGAGGAUAUUUCGUCGAUCUGUGCGAUUGAGUUGGAGAUGUGACACUUUUUAUGUUGUAUUUUUACGUGAUAUGUUAAUUAAUAUUGGAUCACGCUGAGUUUACCCCGAGACGUGAUAGUUGCAUUGCUGUUUGUACAGGUGCCGUCAUGAGAAUGUUACGCUAAUUAAGAAGUUGUUGUAGCUAAUCCGUGUUAAUAACAUGACAAAAUAAUCUUACUAAUUAACAGGCGUAGAAAAGGUCAAAACACUUAUUACGCUAUUGGUGUAUAUUUGGAUAAGUAUUUACUAAAGUGCCUACUUAUUUGGUUGCUCAGCAUCUAUCAAAACAAGUUCAACUAUCGUAUAUUUCGAAAUAAUUUAUUUUCUUGUAUGACUAUUUAUUUUUGGUAGCACGUUAUAUGUUACUAGGAAUAUUAUGUAGUUUUAUUUUUAAAGAUAAAAAGAGGAAUAAAGAUGGGAAUGUUUUCAUUUCAUUGUGCUAUAAGAAAAUGGAUUAUGUAUGUAUACGGUAUGUAUACUAGACCUUAUCAAACAAUGUUAAUUCCUUUGUCUUGUAUGUGCAAUUUAAAUGUUAACGUUCUUUUGAAGUUACAAUAGCUCUUUUACAUUACAUUAUUUUACUUUGUUUUUGGUUUAAUAUGUAGAAAAACAACGUGAAAGUCUUUAA
Molecule: long non-coding RNA, 1316 nt
Organism: Bombyx mori (domestic silkworm)
Lineage: Eukaryota; Metazoa; Arthropoda; Insecta; Lepidoptera; Bombycidae
Exons: 2
Source: RefSeq, a predicted model, not a curated record